GACAUAGGUGGCGAACGUUAUCCGGAAUUAUUGGGCGUAAAGGAUGCGUAGAUGGUAGAAUAAGUUACUGGUCGAUGCCAAACUCAAUUUGACGGAAGCCGGUAAUACUGUUCUGCUCGAGGGCAGGGGAGGUUGAUGGAAUUCUGUGUGGAGCGGUGAAAUGCGUUGAUCUACAGAGGAACACCAAAAAAGGCGAAGGCAGUCAACUAGUCUGUUCCUGACAUUGAGGCAUGAAAGCGUGGGGAGCAAACCGG
This 254-nucleotide ribosomal RNA is filed under the name uncultured bacterium. RNAcentral describes it as "partial 16S ribosomal RNA". It matches the Rfam family "Bacterial small subunit ribosomal RNA", at positions 524 to 776 of the family's 1533-position model. The record is from RNAcentral.